AGACGUCAAACAUAAAAAAAACUGUUUCAAUCACCUAAAUACAAAAGGCAGUGAAUAUGCAAGAGAUAUUUGUUUAAAUGUAGGAUGUUUACCUCCUUUCUGUCCUGAAAAUCGUUCACCAAUGGACCAUCCUCCCGAACUGUUUACUCCAAACAACCUCUGUGGUUGGGCAUCCUGCUUCGCCCUCAGCCCCUGCUGCUGGUGCUGGACCUGCUCCCGGGUGUGAUUGAUUUCGGUUGCCAGAAAAGACGAAGUGACAUGACACUCUGCGAUGGAUUGGAUCCACACCAUGAGAAACCAGCAGCUGUGCUCUGGUCUCAAGCUGUAGUGUGAACAACCAGCUUUAAUGAAUCGCUGUCACAUGCACCGUUUGGUUCCAGGCAACCAGCCACUAAUCUACCACCGAGCUCCUCUUAUAGCUUAUUAUAGCGCUCCUCUCAGAGAAUGUAUGGAUGUAUCUGAGUGAAAACACCUUUGAAACAGAACCACAUCCCAUGCGGGUAUGCGCUCUGUCUAUGUACAGGAUUUAUAUGCAUGUUAAGACAAGUACAUUUAGAUAAUAUAGUAAUUUUUCAUAUUUGUAGGUGAGUGGA
Acanthopagrus latus (yellowfin seabream) is the source of this 593-nucleotide long non-coding RNA. RefSeq lists it as uncharacterized. The transcript has 3 exons. Lineage: Eukaryota; Metazoa; Chordata; Actinopteri; Spariformes; Sparidae. The record is from RefSeq and is a predicted model, not a curated record.